GAUGAACGCUGGCGGCGUGCCUAAUACAUGCAAGUCGAGCGAACGGACGAGAAGCUUGCUUCUCUGAUGUUAGCGGCGGACGGGUGAGUAACACGUGGAUAACCUACCUAUAAGACUGGGAUAACUUCGGGAAACCGUAGCUAAUACUGGAUAAUAUUUUGAACCGCAUGGUUCAAAAGUGAAAGACGGUCUUGCUGUCACUUAUAGAUGGAUCCGCGCUGCAUUAGCUAGUUGGUAAGGUAACGGCUUACCAAGGCAACGAUGCAUAGCCGACCUGAGAGGGUGAUCCGCCACACUGGAACUGAGACACGGUCCCGACUCCUACGGGAGGCAGCAGUAGGGAAUCUUCCGCAAAGGGCGAAAGCCUGACGGAGCAACGCCGCGUGAGUGAUGAAGGUCUUCGGAUCGUAAAACUCUGUUAUUAGGGAAGAACAUAUGUGUAAGUAACUGUGCACAGCUUGACGGUACCUAAUCAGAAAGCCACGGCUAACUACGUG
RNAcentral lists this ribosomal RNA (497 nucleotides) under uncultured bacterium. Its description in RNAcentral is "partial 16S ribosomal RNA". It matches the Rfam family "Bacterial small subunit ribosomal RNA", at positions 28 to 507 of the family's 1533-position model. The record is from RNAcentral.